ACCAUUCACCAGAGGUGCCGUUACGCGGCUGAGAUUGCCAUAAGGCUAAACUCUUGGAACCUGAUCUGGAUCAUACCAGCGUAGGAAGAGUGAAAAAUGUUUGUC
This 105-nucleotide non-coding RNA is filed under the name Silvanigrella aquatica. RNAcentral's name for it is "TPP riboswitch aptamer (THI element)". It matches the Rfam family "TPP riboswitch aptamer (THI element)". Rfam says of the family: Vitamin B(1) in its active form thiamin pyrophosphate (TPP) is an essential coenzyme that is synthesised by coupling of pyrimidine and thiazole moieties in bacteria. The previously detected thiamin-regulatory element, thi box was extended, resulting in a new, highly conserved RNA secondary structure, the THI element, which is widely distributed in eubacteria and also occurs in some archaea. Analysis of operon structures identified a large number of new candidate thiamin-regulated genes, mostly transporters, in various prokaryotic organisms. The record is from Rfam by way of RNAcentral. RNAcentral also lists the same sequence under 1 other name. Lineage: Bacteria; Pseudomonadati; Bdellovibrionota; Oligoflexia; Silvanigrellales; Silvanigrellaceae.